RNAcentral lists this long non-coding RNA (546 nucleotides) under Homo sapiens (human). Its description in RNAcentral is "non-protein coding lnc-P2RX2-1:1". The record is from RNAcentral. Lineage: Eukaryota; Metazoa; Chordata; Mammalia; Primates; Hominidae.
CUCAGCCGGUGUGUGCCUGCUGCGGGUUUGGCACUGCAUGGAAAAUGGAUUUUUUUUAACACAUCGAGGCAAAACGUGAAAAAUGGAUUUUGAAGAAGACUUUUCCCAGCGGACAGUGGUUCCCCUGAUGAAUUUGAACGUGAGCACCUGCUGUGAGCGGGAGCGGGGGCCUCAGCCUGGGGUCCCUCCUGGAGGGGCCCUUGCUGCCCAGCCCCGCAGCAGUGCGGGCAUCAGAUGAAGCAGCGGCAUUGCCCUGCGUGUGGUCAGCGGCCAAGCUAUGCUCAUUGUGAGCCCCAUGCCCGGACGGCGCUGCCCCCACCACAGCGACCGGCCCAGUACAGGGUGGAUGACAGGAACCCUUCCUCGGGACUCUUCCAGCCGGGCCCAGGCGGAGACGUCAUUAGGAGGGUCUCUCUUUUCCUCCUGGGUUCCAAAGCCAUACGGGAAAACCCAGUAGACUCCACAAUUCAUGAAAACUGACAGGAGAGGCCAGACCAAGAUCAACACAAAAUUCAAAACGAUUUCUCCACACUGGCCAUAAAUAAC